Molecule: long non-coding RNA, 249 nt
Organism: Herpailurus yagouaroundi (jaguarundi)
Lineage: Eukaryota; Metazoa; Chordata; Mammalia; Carnivora; Felidae
Exons: 4
Source: RefSeq, a predicted model, not a curated record
AACUCUUUCACUACACGACGGUUUCCCGACUCUUUCCUGUGGUUGAUUUCAAGCUUCAUAGCAUUGUGGUCUGAAAGUAUGCAUGGUAUGAUUUCAAUUCUUGUAUACUUAUGAACGGCUGUUUUGUGACCCCGUAUGUGAUCGAUCUUGGAGAAUGUUCCAUGUGCACUCAAGAAGAAAGUAUAUUCUGUUGCUUUGGGAUGCAGAGUUCUAAAUAUAACUGUCAAGUCCAUCUGAUCCAAUGUAUCA